This 538-nucleotide ribosomal RNA is filed under the name uncultured bacterium. RNAcentral's name for it is "bacterial SSU rRNA". It matches the Rfam family "Bacterial small subunit ribosomal RNA", at positions 391 to 922 of the family's 1533-position model. The record is from RNAcentral.
UCAAUGCCGCGUGAGUGAAGAAGGCCUUCGGGUUGUAAAGCUCUUUCGGCCGGGACGAAAUCGCUCUGGUGAAUAUCCAGGUUGGAUGACGGUACCGGAACAAGAAGCACCGGCUAACUACGUGCCAGCAGCCGCGGUAAUACGUAGGGUGCGAGCGUUAAUCGGAAUUACUGGGCGUAAAGCGUGCGCAGGCGGUUUUGUAAGUCAGACGUGAAAGCCCCGGGCUUAACCUGGGAAUUGCGUUUGAAACUGCAAGGCUAGAGUACGGCAGAGGGGGGUAGAAUUCCACGUGUAGCAGUGAAAUGCGUAGAUAUGUGGAGGAAUACCGAUGGCGAAGGCAGCCCCCUGGGCUAGUACUGACGCUCAUGCACGAAAGCGUGGGGAGCAAACAGGAUUAGAUACCCUGGUAGUCCACGCCCUAAACUAUGACAACUAGUUGUUGGGGAUUAACAUCCUUAGUAACGCAGCUAACGCGUGAAGUUGUCCGCCUGGGGAGUACGGUCGCAAGAUUAAAACUCAAAGGAAUUGACGGGGGCCC